CCAUAACGCGGUCGCCCCGUGAUCCCCCCUUCUCCAAUUGCUGGGGGGUUAGGGCGGCCACACGCGUUCUUACCACCCUUGAUUUUGAGCACCUUCAUGUUUCCUCGGCAGGGACGCCUGCCAGCGAGGACCCCCAAAAAACUUUUUGCAGUUUGCAGUAUUUGUCUGAAAACAAACAUAAUAAUCA
This 187-nucleotide unclassified non-coding RNA is filed under the name uncultured Ascomycota. Its description in RNAcentral is "sequence contains ITS1". The record is from RNAcentral. Lineage: Eukaryota; Fungi; Ascomycota.